Molecule: ribosomal RNA, 538 nt
Filed under: uncultured bacterium
Lineage: Bacteria
Description: bacterial SSU rRNA
Rfam family: Bacterial small subunit ribosomal RNA
Source: RNAcentral
ACAACAUGUGAAAGCAUGCGACUCUUCGGAGGCGUUACACAGGUGCUGCAUGGCCGUCGUCAGCUCGUGUCGUGAGAUGUUUGGUUAAGUCCAGCAACGAGCGCAACCCCUGUUGCCAGUUACCAGCACGUGAAGGUGGGGACUCUGGCGAGACUGCCCAGAUCAACUGGGAGGAAGGUGGGGACGACGUCAGGUCAGUAUGGCCCUUAUGCCCAGGGCUGCACACGUACUACAAUGCCCAGUACAGAGGGGGCCGAAGCCGCGAGGCGGAGGAAAUCCUAAAAACUGGGCCCAGUUCGGACUGUAGGCUGCAACCCGCCUACACGAAGCCGGAAUCGCUAGUAAUGGCGCAUCAGCUACGGCGCCGUGAAUACGUUCCCGGGUCUUGUACACACCGCCCGUCACAUCAUGGAAGCCGGUCGCACCCGAAGUAUCUGAAGCCAACCGCAAGGAGGCAGGGUCCUAAGGUGAGACUGGUAACUGGGAUGAAGUCGUAACAAGGUAGCCGUAGGGGAACCUGCGGUUGGAUCACCUCCUU